CCGGAACUCGAAGCUCGACCUCUUGCUGUGAGGUAACAUAACCACUGAUCCACCGUGUCGCCUGUUUAAUAAGUGCAGAAAAAACACACUACACAAAGGCAGUUUUGUUAAAGGACUCCCUGAUUAAUGGAUCUGAAUGGAGAAGUGAUGCCAAGGCAUGCAGAAAUAAAAUACAUUGGCCAGUGACAGCGGUUGCAGUCAACACAAAGCACUCGAACACUGGUCGGGCCUUCAGGAGCCCGAUAGCUGAGCGUGAAGAAAACGUUGGCCUGCAUGCUGUCCCGAAUCAGGAACGUCCCAAGGGGAAGAUUCGCCAGUCUCGCAUGAGCUUCGUCCACAUCCAAAGGGCCCCAGUAAAAUCCACUGUGAGUCAAGUAAACCACAGCCUGUUUGAUAAGAUUGCAUUCCUGCUGGUCCCGGAAAGGGUGAAAGUGUGUUGGUGGGACGGAGCAGGGUUUCGGAGGCUCUGCGGAUUUGGGUGGUGCAUUUGUAUGGCCGUUGUCAUUGUGAUGGACCAUUCUGAACUGAAGCCCACUCAUGACAUUCCUCCAUGAUCUUAAAGCAUAGACGAUUGAUUCUGUGCAGACUGUGUGUAAAAAGGACAAAGAGUUUGAAACAUCAGAUAAAAGCUCUGAUCGAAGACAGUACAGAUGAUUUUAAGUGUGCACAAAUUGUCAUUUUUUUUAUAGCGAAAAGGUCUAUUUAUAUUGGGAUGAUGAUCAAAAAAGGUUAGUAUUAGUAGUAUUAUUAAUGACUAGUACUAUUAAUUUAUUAAAAUAAUUAAUUAAUAUUAUUACUAUUAAUUCAUAAAUGAAUACUAAUCAUUUAUUUUGUAUUAUAUUACAGUAAACAUUUUUUAAAAAGG
This 865-nucleotide long non-coding RNA is filed under the name Danio rerio (zebrafish). RNAcentral describes it as "si:ch73-191k20.1 (ENSDARG00000094298.2)". Lineage: Eukaryota; Metazoa; Chordata; Actinopteri; Cypriniformes; Danionidae. The record is from RNAcentral.